AAUCCAAACAGUCUCUUAGUAUAAGUUAUAUAAAAGAAAAAUAAUUAGACUAAGCACUCACCUUAGUGCUCCCCCCGUUUGUAACAAAAAAUUUAAGAUAGUCGUUACCAGCAGCGCUGACGAGGGCUACCGAAGAUUCAAGGUCGGAUUUGGUAUUCAUAUUUUAUUGUAUUAACUUCUCAAAUAAGUCGAUUUGGAUAGUCAUAUUUAGUCCAUCAAUCAAAGUAUCGAAAACACCAAUAAAGAGAUUUCAUACUAAAAUUACUUUUAUUUUAAUCUAUAAUAAGCAUAACUUUUGAUUAUUUAUUUUAAUUUUAUUUUUUGUAAUAAUUAUAAGUGUACCUGCAGUUAUAUUAAUUAUCAUGAAGAGGAGAAGAAGCAAAGAGACAAACUUGGUGAUUCGUGGAGUUUGCUUCGCCAUUGAUGAAUGGUGAUUAGUAAAGUGUAGUAUAGUGCAUGUAGCUGAGCGAUCACAUGUAUGUACAUAAGUAUAAAUACUAGUCUCCAUUUUUUUUCUUCUUUUCUUUCUAUUUAAAUAACUAGUUUUCACAUGUAUACGUUUUUUAUUGUGUUUUAUUUUUAUUUUUAUGAUUUCUUUGUUUGAAUAUGG
This 610-nucleotide long non-coding RNA is filed under the name Medicago truncatula (barrel medic). RNAcentral's name for it is "long non-coding RNA (MTRU_LNC007664)". The record is from RNAcentral. Lineage: Eukaryota; Viridiplantae; Streptophyta; Magnoliopsida; Fabales; Fabaceae.